Molecule: ribosomal RNA, 450 nt
Filed under: Burkholderia sp. MRh3(18)
Lineage: Bacteria; Pseudomonadati; Pseudomonadota; Betaproteobacteria; Burkholderiales; Burkholderiaceae
Description: bacterial SSU rRNA
Rfam family: Bacterial small subunit ribosomal RNA
Source: RNAcentral
CUUAACAUGCAGUCGACGGCAGCACGGGGGCAACCCUGGUGGCGAGUGGCGAACGGGUGAGUAAUACAUCGGAACGUGUCCUGUAGUGGGGGAUAGCCCGGCGAAAGCCGGAUUAAUACCGCAUACGAUCUACGGAAGAAAGCGGGGGAUCGCAAGACCUCGCGCUAUAGGGGCGGCCGAUGGCAGAUUAGCUAGUUGGUGGGGUAAAGGCCUACCAAGGCGACGAUCUGUAGCUGGUCUGAGAGGACGACCAGCCACACUGGGACUGAGACACGGCCCAGACUCCUACGGGAGGCAGCAGUGGGGAAUUUUGGACAAUGGGGGAAACCCUGAUCCAGCAAUGCCGCGUGUGUGAAGAAGGCCUUCGGGUUGUAAAGCACUUUUGUCCGGAAAGAAAACCUUUGGGCUAAUACCCUGAGGGGAUGACGGUACCGGAAGAAUAAGCACCGG